RNAcentral lists this long non-coding RNA (1571 nucleotides) under Castor canadensis (American beaver). RNAcentral's name for it is "lncRNA (ENSCCNG00000002042.1)". Lineage: Eukaryota; Metazoa; Chordata; Mammalia; Rodentia; Castoridae. The record is from RNAcentral.
AAUUAACUGUGUUCUUACAGUUUCUUGGUGUUUGAUACAGAUACCUAUUGCGAUUAAUGGUCCUUGAGAAGACAUCUUUGUGCCAGAAGAAAUACUGUCAAGGAUUGGAAUUCUAGAAUUAAAAGGCCUAUAGAUGCUGAACUAGAAAAAUACCCAGUAAUGGAUCAAAGGAAGAUUGACAAUAUUGUCCCCAAAUCACUCAAUUCCAGUGUUGUGUGGCUCAUUAUUGCCCACAGUCUGUGAAAGAAGAUAUUGCAACCUGAUACCUUCUGAAAAGACACCAAUAAGUGUUAAUCAAACUUCUUCUAUUGAAAAAAAUGAAUUUCCUCCAUUACCAGAAGGCUUAGAAAAAAGAAGUGCCAUGUUAGAUGGGAUUGCUAUUGGAGCAGCACUUUCACCAUCUCUGAAAGCAGAAUAUAGGAUGGGAAGAACCAGAAGUCAUGGAAUGACAGAAAAAAAGUCAGAACUGAGUGAUUCUACAACAUUCAUUUACAGUUUCCCCAUGAAUUUCACUGCUGAAGACUGGGCCUUCUAUGUUUGCAGCUUUUAUCUAUUAGAUGGGUUCCUUUGAAUAUAAUCUCACAGCUGAUCUUCCAAACCACUUGGUGUUUGUACAGAAAGUGUUCAUUAAGAAGGCUAAAGAAAUAAUAUAAAAGGUUUCUGGUAAGGGUUUCUGGUAAGAUGAUCUGGCACCCUAUAGCAUAGUUGCAGGUUUCUUUUCUUAUUGGCUCUGUGAUGUUCCAUAAUUUCUACUAAAACUUGAUUGACACAAAAAUAGUACAGUUAGAUAGAACAAUCAAUCAAUAAUGAAAGUAAAUUAAAAUUCUCUACCAAAUUAUUUUUCUUAUUAUUUAUAUAGAUAGAAUACCAGUUAUUUAUUAUUUAAUUGAGAAUGGAAAAGACAGCCAACUUUCAAAAUAAGAAUCACAUAGUUAUUAUUUAAUCACAUUGUGUUAUGUUUGUUGCAUCUCAUGAUUACUCUUAAAAGACCUGCAGCAUGCUUUUGCCUGUAGAGCCAUGGGAGAAACUAAGAACUCCACUGGCCUAAUUCCAUUCAUGCUGUAAACAAAUUUUAGUAGCAGUAUUAUUUAGCAACAUUAUUUUUAAAAAUCUCCAAAAUGUAGAUGUUAUUCCAUGUAAUAUUUUCUCUCUAGAAUAUGAUAUAAUUCAUUCUUUUUUUUUCAUUUUUCUUUUAUUAUUCAUAUGUGCAUACAAGGAUUGGUUCAUUUCUCCCCACUGCCCCCACCCCCUCCCUUACCACCCACUCCGCCCCCUCCCUCUCCCCCCCCAAUACCCAGCAGAAACUAUUUUGCCCUUAUUUCUAAUUUUGUUGUAGAGAGAGUAUAAGCAAUAAUAGGAAGGAACAAGAGUUUUUGCUGGUUGAGAUAAGGAUAGCUAUACAGGGCAUUGACUCACAUUGAUUUCCUGUGCGUGGGUGUUACCUUCUAGGUUAAUUCUUUUUGAUCUAACCUUUUCUCUAGUACCUGUUCCCCUUUUCCUAUUGGCCUCAGUAAUUCAUUCUUUAUCCAUAAAAAUUAGGUAUUUAUAUAAAUUAUCUUUAUAUCUUUUUA